RNAcentral lists this ribosomal RNA (505 nucleotides) under uncultured Glomus. Its description in RNAcentral is "SSU rRNA". It matches the Rfam family "Eukaryotic small subunit ribosomal RNA", at positions 569 to 1075 of the family's 1831-position model. The record is from RNAcentral. Lineage: Eukaryota; Fungi; Glomeromycota; Glomeromycetes; Glomerales; Glomeraceae.
AGCAGCCGCGGUAAUUCCAGCUCCGAUAGCGUAUAUUAAAGUUGUUGCAGUUAAAAAGCUCGUAGUUGAAUUUCGGGAUCAAAGGAUCGGUCAUGCCUUGGUAUGUACUGGUUUUAUUGGUUCUCACCUUCUAAAGAACCAUAAUGUCAUUCAUUUGAUGUUAUGGGGAAUUAGGACUGUUACCUUGAAAAAAUUAGAGUGUUUAAAGCAGGCUCACGCUUGAAUACAUUAGCAUGGAAUAAUGAAAUAGGACGUUUGAUUCUAUUUUGUUGGUUUCUAGGAUCGACGUAAUGAUUAAUAGGGGUAGUUGGGGGCAUUAGUAUUCAAUUGUCAGAGGUGAAAUUCUUGGAUUUAUUGAAGACUAACUACUGCGAAAGCAUUUGCCAAGGAUGUUUUCAUUAAUCAAGAACGAAAGUUAGGGGAUCGAAGACGAUCAGAUACCGUCGUAGUCUUAAACCAUAAACUAUGCCGACUAGGGAUCGGAUGAUGUAAUUUUUUUAAUGAC